UCGAACUUGGAGAUAGCUGGUUCUCUCCGAAAUAGCUUUAGGGCUAGCCUCGAGGUAAAGAGUCAUGGAGGUAGAGCACUGUUUGGACUAGGGGCCCUUCUCGGGUUACCGAAUUCAGAUAAACUCCGAAUGCCAUGUACUUAUACUCGGGAGUCAGACUGCGAGUGAUAAGAUCCGUAGUCGAAAGGGAAACAGCCCAGACCACCAGUUAAGGUCCCCAAAUAUAUGUUAAGUGGAAAAGGAUGUGGGGUUGCUUAGACAACCAGGAUGUUGGCUUAGAAGCAGCCACCAUUGAAAGAGUGCGUAAUAGCUCACUGGUCGAGUGACCCCGCGCCGAAAAUGUACCGGGGCUAAACAUAUUACCGAAACUGUGGAUGAACCUCUUUAGAGGUUCGUGGUAGGAGAGCGUUCUAAGGGCGGUGAAGUCAGACCGGAAGGACUGGUGGAGCGCUUAGAAGUGAGAAUGCCGGUAUGAGUAGCGAAAGAAGGGUGAGAAUCCCUUCCACCGAAUAUCUAAGGUUUCCUGAGGAAGGCUCGUCCGCUCAGGGUUAGUCGGGACCUAAGCCGAGGCCGAUAGGCGUAGGCGAUGGACAACAGGUAGAGAUUCCUGUACCAGUGCUAAUUGUUUAACCGAUG
RNAcentral lists this ribosomal RNA (636 nucleotides) under Listeria monocytogenes. Its description in RNAcentral is "partial 23S ribosomal RNA". It matches the Rfam family "Bacterial large subunit ribosomal RNA", at positions 833 to 1466 of the family's 2925-position model. The record is from RNAcentral. Lineage: Bacteria; Bacillati; Bacillota; Bacilli; Caryophanales; Listeriaceae.